RNAcentral lists this ribosomal RNA (253 nucleotides) under uncultured bacterium. RNAcentral describes it as "partial 16S ribosomal RNA". It matches the Rfam family "Bacterial small subunit ribosomal RNA", at positions 524 to 776 of the family's 1533-position model. The record is from RNAcentral.
UACGUAGGGUGCGAGCGUUGCCCGGAUUUAUUGGGCGUAAAGGGCGCGCAGGCGGCCCGGCACGUCACAUGUGAAAUCGCCCGGCUCAACUGGGCGGGGUCAGCGGAUACGGCGCGACUGGAGCAAGCUAGGGGGCAAUGGAAUUCCCGGUGUAGUGGUGGAAUGCGUAGAUAUCGGGAGGAACACCAGUGGCGAAGGCGGUUGCCUGGAGCUUUGCUGACGCUGAGGCGCGAAAGCGUGGGGAGCGAUCCGG